AAGGAGAAAAUGAAAGAGAAAGAGGAUGCAGAGGAGGAGGAAGAUGAAGAAAAUCGGAGCAGAAGCACGACCUAGAAAAAUCACUUCCACCUUCUUGCUGCUUCUUCACUUGGUCAUGUGUGUAAAGAAAGGAAAAAGGCAAGGAUCACUCUUGUUGCUUCUUUGAAGAGCUUGACAUCAUUCUUCUCAUGAUCUAUUUCCUUCCAAAAGGCUCCCAUAUAUGAAAUUUAAGAGGACACAAUUCAGCCCAAUGCAGAUUUCUUCCCAUUGAAAGCUACUACAGAUGUCCAGCAGGCAGUUCUGCUACCCUUUGAUGAGAAACUUGAUUUUCUCCAUUACGUUGUCUUUGUCUCAUGUCUAUGUUUCUGCUAGUAACACACAGUCUGGAUUACUGAAGAUUUAUGGAAUUGAAACUCUUUAGACCUCUGCUUCUCCUUUUCAAAGUUGUCUUGGCUUAGAGCAAUGACUUUAAAGACGGAAGAAUGCUGUCCUCUGAGAGGCUCCACCCAGCAGCUGACUCAGACAGAUAACAGAGACCUACAGCCAAACAGUGGAUGGAGCUUGGGGAUUCUUAUGGAAGGAUUGAAGGCCCAGAAAAGGAUAAGAACUCCACAGGAAGACCAAUAUUGCUCCAUGGGCAGGAAAAAUCCAGAAGCAACUCUCCCCCCCCCUCUUCAAACACACAGAUCUUCAAGACAGUUUUGCAGUGAGCUGCAACUGUGCAAGGAUGUUUAUUUCAAUAAUGCCCAAGGGAAGUAAGACAUACCUGGAGUUACAGAGAAGGAACUUGUGAAAAGUCCUAUUGUGCUGCUCACCAGCAUUCCAGGAAGAUUAGAGACGUGGUGGAGAAUAAACCAGACAACUGUGGUCAGCUGGAAAAGACAGUCACUAUUGCCAACUUUUAUCAAAGUGGAGUCUGUUAGGCUCCACUUCCCUGUGCCAUCUAUCUAGUGGAAAUUAAAACACCCAGACCCUCCAUUCAAAGAACGCAGUAUGUAGAAUGGUUGACAGUUUGAAUCGCUAAGGUUGGGAAGCCACAAAUACAGGAAGCACUUUAGAUUUGGCUCACAGAGAAUUCCAGGGUUGCCAGAGAUAACCUAGGAUCCAAGUAUUCUUUUACAGCAACAACCUUGCCUCAUAGCUUUUCUAACUUCAAAUCUCAGAGUAGUUUAUAUUGCUUUGUUCUGUACACAGGUGAGCUGCUUACCUAAAACACUAGGCCUCUGGGGUGCUAUUAUGUUUGCAUAAAGUCUAUUACUUAGAUGAGGUAAAGGUGUCGAGGCAGAAAGGGAAUUGCAUUUCAACUAAAGGAAUUUAAAGUGUAUACAUAAGAAGGGGAAUGUUCAGUUUACUUUGAAAGGGAUCAUUGGAUUGUUGUAAAAUAAGAGCUAGAAGAUACAUUGAGAUGCAUGCAUAUAAAUACAAUGGGCGCAUACUCCUAUGUAGACAUAUAUACUAGUAUAACCUCUGGCAUCUACAUUUCAAGUCCUGUGCUCUGUAAGCAUUUUGUGGGGCUUCAGUAUUGUUAUUUCCAAAUGUUAUUUCCUUUGUAGUGCCCAGUAUGGUGGUAUCAGAUGGGCUUGUUACACACUUCUUUGUGUACCUGUCCAUUCAUACUUGGGUAUCUGGUUCUAUCACUUCCUCUGGUAAUGGAGUCAUUUAGGUAUAAACACCUUCUUAUGUCUUCUCCUAGACUUCAAAGCAUCACUAAACAGCUGAAGCUUAGUCUCAUAAUAUUUUUGAUGAACACACAACCAGUUUUUCUCUGUUUCCAUUCUUUUUUUUUAAACAUUUAGAAAAAGAUGAUUUAUUUUCUUUAUUUGUGCAUGAAUGUUUUGCCUGUAUGUGUGUGAAUAUAUAUAUAUAUAUGUAUAUAUAUGCAUACACACACACACACUUGUAUAGGCAUCACAUACAUGUCAGAAGAGGGUAUUAGAUCCCCUAGAAUUAGAGUUAUAUAUCUCUGUAAGAGACCAUGUGAAAAUGGAGCCUGGUCAUCAAUAAGAACAAGUGCUUUUAAACAUUGAGCCAUCUCUCUGGCUCUGUAUCCAGGCUUCUUUUAUGGGGAUGUAAAGUUGAUCAGCUAAGUAGUGUGCAAUGCAACUUCAAGCUUUACAAUCUUCAUUAAUAUUCAUUUGAAGGUUUUAUCUUAUUACUGCCACCACCAUAAACAACAAUAAAAAGUCUCUCCUUUGACUGAAGAAUUGAAACCUGUCCCAUCUGUAGGCACAAAUGGACACUUAUGUGUGACACUGCAUUU
This 2260-nucleotide long non-coding RNA is filed under the name Mus musculus (house mouse). RNAcentral's name for it is "RIKEN cDNA 6430553K19 gene". Lineage: Eukaryota; Metazoa; Chordata; Mammalia; Rodentia; Muridae. The record is from RNAcentral.